RNAcentral lists this ribosomal RNA (301 nucleotides) under uncultured bacterium. Its description in RNAcentral is "partial 16S ribosomal RNA". It matches the Rfam family "Bacterial small subunit ribosomal RNA", at positions 509 to 809 of the family's 1533-position model. The record is from RNAcentral.
CAGCCGCCGCGGGAAUACGAAGGGGGCUAGCGUUACUCGGAAUUACUGGGCGUAAAGCGUGCGUAGGUGGUGGUUUAAGUCCGUUGUGAAAGCCCUGGGCUCAACCUGGGAAUUGCAGUGGAUACUGGGUCACUAGAGUGUGGUAGAGGAUAGUGGAAUUUCCGGUGUAGCAGUGAAAUGCGUAGAGAUCGGAAGGAACAUCUGUGGCGAAGGCGACUAUCUGGGCCAACACUGACACUGAGGCACGAAAGCGUGGGGAGCAAACAGGAUUAGAUACCCCUGUACCCUGUCUCUUAUACAC